Non-coding RNA from Spirochaetes bacterium GWF1_51_8, 73 nucleotides. Lineage: Bacteria; Pseudomonadati; Spirochaetota. The record is from Rfam.
GCCACCGUAGCUCAGCUGGUAGAGCAAUUGAUUCGUAAUCAGUAGGCCAGCGGUUCGAUCCCGCUCGGUGGCU